RNAcentral lists this ribosomal RNA (301 nucleotides) under uncultured bacterium. RNAcentral describes it as "partial 16S ribosomal RNA". It matches the Rfam family "Bacterial small subunit ribosomal RNA", at positions 509 to 807 of the family's 1533-position model. The record is from RNAcentral.
CAGCAGCCGCGGGAAUACGAAGGGGGCUAGCGUUGCUCGGAAUGACUGGGCGUAAAGGGCGCGUAGGCGGAUGGCACAGUCAGAUGUGAAAUUCCCGGGCUUAACCUGGGGGCUGCAUUUGAUACGUGUUGUCUAGAGUGAGGAAGAGGGUCGUGGAAUUCCCAGUGUAGAGGUGAAAUUCGUAGAUAUUGGGAAGAACACCGGUGGCGAAGGCGGCGACCUGGUCCUUGACUGACGCUGAGGCGCGAAAGCGUGGGGAGCAAACAGGAUUAGAGACCCCAGUAGUCCCUGUCUCUUAUAC